UAUCGCGCAAUACUUGGACUCGGGUGCCGCUCACUCCCAGGUCAUUUUCCCUUUCAGCAGCAAGUCAGGGAUUUUAAACAGCCGAGAUGAAAGGCUCUUGUCCCCGCCUCCCUUGAGUUCAUGUAUUAUGAAUGAAACGCCAACCUUGCUGCUUUGAGGUGCUCCACAUCAGGCAGAAAUAUUUAAGAACCAAUGCUUGAUUCUUCAUAUUCCAUACCCCUUGCCACUGUGACCUGUGAUCUUUUAAAUGGUACAUGCUUCAUCAGCCUGCAUCCCUGAGUGAGAAUGAUGUGGAGCAGAGAUCUCAGCCAACCUGUGAUGGGUGUGAAGCUUACACUGUCUGCUCUGGUAGAUGGGAAGAGCAUUAAUGCUGGAGGCCACAAACUUGGGCUUGCUUUGGAGUUGGAGGCUUAAUCCAGCUGAAGAAACCUCUGGGAAUGGAUAUUGGAAGAUUUGGCCUUAAUAUAUUUCCAUUGUGACCAGCAGGCUUUUUUUUUCCCCCAAGAAGGUGAUCAAAACAAAGGAUGAUCUAAACAAGAGCUGUAUUUUAAAUACUUAGACAGUUACUUGUUAGCUGGUUUCUAGUUGAAUUGGUUAUCUAGUUACCAAUGCUGCAGUCUUGCAGUCACCUAUACAUUAUUUAAAUGUAUUUAACUGUUAAAUGCGCUACCCACCAAUAAUGAAAUAGACCUUUAUGAAAACUGUG
Molecule: long non-coding RNA, 706 nt
Organism: Choloepus didactylus (southern two-toed sloth)
Lineage: Eukaryota; Metazoa; Chordata; Mammalia; Pilosa; Megalonychidae
Exons: 3
Source: RefSeq, a predicted model, not a curated record